AUGAGCAAGACAAGGUAUUGUCUUUAUCCUCCCAUGUUUUCAUUCGUACCUCUCAAACUAUCUCUACACAACCCCUCUCCUCCUCCGACCAACCCACGACCUCUAGAACCAAGCUCCCACCUCUGUCCUGCAGGUCCUUCCGGACGCUACUUGGACAAGAACAACUUUUCCAGUGCCUCCUCGAUUGUCGAUGGCACCAGCUUCACCUACUUGGUCUCAACCAAGCUUGUCGGCACCACCAUGACUGUGGUGCCUUCUUCUGUUGUUCAUCUCCCCCCAAAUAACUUAUCCCCAUGGCGCUUCUCAGAUGGUGUUUACUUCUACAAAGUCUUAUUAUAUCUGCACUGCAUCAAUAUUCUGAAGUGGACAUAA
Molecule: ribosomal RNA, 372 nt
Filed under: Triticum aestivum (bread wheat)
Lineage: Eukaryota; Viridiplantae; Streptophyta; Magnoliopsida; Poales; Poaceae
Description: partial small subunit ribosomal RNA
Source: RNAcentral